UUGAUUAUUGUUACGCCCCAUGUU
This 24-nucleotide small RNA is filed under the name Arabidopsis thaliana (thale cress). RNAcentral describes it as "ATSL220350". Lineage: Eukaryota; Viridiplantae; Streptophyta; Magnoliopsida; Brassicales; Brassicaceae. The record is from RNAcentral.